RNAcentral lists this ribosomal RNA (488 nucleotides) under uncultured bacterium. RNAcentral's name for it is "partial 16S ribosomal RNA". It matches the Rfam family "Bacterial small subunit ribosomal RNA", at positions 355 to 859 of the family's 1533-position model. The record is from RNAcentral.
UGGGGAAUAUUGGACAAUGGGCGCAAGCCUGAUCCAGCCAUGCCGCGUGAGUGAUGAAGGCCCUAGGGUUGUAAAGCUCUUUCACCGGUGAAGAUAAUGACGGUAACCGGAGAAGAAGCCCCGGCUAACUUCGUGCCAGCAGCCGCGGUAAUACGAAGGGGGCUAGCGUUGUUCGGAUUUACUGGGCGUAAAGCGCACGUAGGCGGACUUUUAAGUCAGGGGUGAAAUCCCGGGGGCUCAACCCCGGAACUGCCUUUGAUACUGGAAGUCUUGAGUAUGGUAGAGGUGAGUGGAAUUCCGAGUGUAGAGGUGAAAUUCGUAGAUAUUCGGAGGAACACCAGUGGCGAAGGCGGCUCACUGGGCCAUUACUGACGCUGAGGUGCGAAAGCGUGGGGAGCAAACAGGUUAGAUACCCUGGUAGUCCACGCCGUAAACGAUGAAUGUUAGCCGUUGGGGAGUUUUAACUCUUCGGUGGCGCAGCUAACGCA